GAGCCCCCAUGUGGUUGCUGGGAAUUGAACUCAGGACCUGUGGAAGAGCAGUCAGUGCUCUUAACCGCUGAGCCAUCUCUCCAGCCCCACAGUGUUUCUUCAAAGGCUCUGCCACUUUCUUAUUCCAGCCCCGCAGCUAUCUCUCUGUGUGUGUCCUGGCCCUUGACUAAAUGUCCCUGAAGCAGAGAUAGCCCCUUGCAUAAAGCAUGGUGGCGCUAGCCUAGCCUCAGUAUUUGCCCAAUGGCACUGCACUGAACUGGAAGACCCAGAACAUUUCAUUUGGAGGAUACUUGCCCACACUGUCACCUCUCUCUCUGUUCCCGCCUGUUUUUUGAUAGCUGGUGUUUGGAUGAUUUCCUAUGAUCACCCUUGGUUUAGUAUUACCCUUCAUCGGCAGGCUAAGCAGAGUAUGUGGAUGGGGAUGGCUCAUCAGGAAAGCGUUUGACGCUCUUUCAAAUGUGUGAAGAUGUCUGUCUAUUCUAGCAUGGAAAGAGGCUGAGGCACUGUGGGAAUGUGAGGCGUCUGCUGGGGGCACAGGUGACAGAGGAAGUUAGAAGAGGAACAGGGAGCCCCAGAGGAAGAAUGAUGUGGGGUUUCCCCAGGGCUGGCCUUGGAAUCGGGUGUCUGAACUCCAGGCCUGUUCUCUGACUGGGCCUUCCUCUGCCUUUGACCUGAGAAGGGUGUAAAAUGUUCACCCAGACUUGUAGGGCCCUUGUGUCUCGGCAUCCCAGGAAACCUUAGCAAUGAGGCACAGGUGACCAUACCAAACCCCUCAUCUGUGGGAUGCUCUCUGCUUCCAGAGAGGAAAACAAAACAAAACAAUGAAAACCCAAAACCACAGCAAUCAUGGGUACUUUACACAUCACAGCUGCUCAGGGAUUUCUCUGCCCCAUUACCCCAGGGGAACAUUGUUGCCCCUAGUGGCUUCUCCUGGAAAUGACAACUGAUUUGGCUUGGUUUUGGGGAACCUUGGGCAAGCCCUAUGCCUGUUCUUUUGGAGGAGACCCACAAGGCCUUGCAAUCUGAGGGCUGGCUGACAUCCUGGCAGAGGGUCCCUGAGUUGGCCUAACAACCUUCUCCCAGCCUGCCCCUGGGAGCUACACAUGAAGGUUGAUUCAUGCACACAAUUGCUUCCCUCAGUUCCCUUCCUCAAAGUGCUUCACUCUGUGCCUGGGUGUCCCCGAAGCCCACGUGAGUGGGCAGUAGACACUCAAGGUUAGUCCUUGUAAAUUUUUUCAUAGUUAGGGCAGUUUCUCCCCAACCACAGCCAGUUUCUACCAGCCCAGCCCACGCCACUUAGUCAGAGGUCACAGACCUGGCUCCUGGUGUGUGUGUGUGUGUGUGUGUGUGUGUGUGUGUGUGUGUACCCACUUGUCAGGGCAGGUGACUGUCCCAACCCGUCUCAUUAUGCCACUCCUUGUUCAGCCCAGGAACGCCACAGCUCUAAAUCAUUAUUUCCAAUUUUAUUAGCCAACCCUGACUUUCAGGAAGUUCUUUCUCAUCUCUGUCCUGCAUUUGUCUUGCCCAAGCUUAAUGUCCCUAUGCUCUGGGGAAUCCCUUCUUAUUAGAGGCUCUCCUGUGAGUAAGUGGCAUCAUAGGUCAUUUUAGUGAGCAGUCAGUCAUUCUCAGAAGGUUCUCAUACCUUCCCUCAGAGACCAGGUCCUCAGUGGAAUUCCCGUGGGCUGCUGGUGAGGCCCAGGGGACCACCCUGUGUGUCAGGAACUGUUUUCGAGGACUGUGGAAUAGGCAGUGACUGGUUUACUCUCUCCUCACCAUCCCUAAUGAGGCCGCCUCUGUUGCUCUUACCCUGUAGAUGCCAGACUCAGCUUCAGACGUGAACUGGCCUGACUGAAGUCACAAAGGCAGAGUAGAAGGCGCAGUGAUUCAGUCCUUACAUCAAACAAGGUGUUAGCGUGAGGUCCAACCUCAGGCUCCUCAGAGGAGAGCGCUGUGAGUGCGAGAGACCAGCCUCCAGUUUGGGGCUGUGGUAAUCCUCUCCGUCUGCCUAAGCCUCCCUCCCUCACAGUCCUUGCUGUUCCUGUGUUCACUGGUUGAUUGUUUUUAGGGUGCAAAAGGCCAGGUGUGGUGACAUGUCCCUAAGGAGGCGGGGUGGAUUGAGUCCAGCAAUUCAAGACUAGCCUGUUGUCUGGGCAGCAUAACAGGCCCAGCAUAACAGAGCAAGAUGAAGGGGAGGAGGGGGAGGAGGGAGAGGAAGAGGGAGAGGAAGAGAAUGAAGAAAAGAGGAGGAGGAGAAGCAGCAGCAACAGCAGCAACUGCUAUAAAUGUGGCAGUAAGCACCUGGAAUCCCCACACUUGAGGUGGGAGUAGCGAGAUCGUGAGUUCAAGGUCACACUCAGCUCCAUAGUGAAUUCAAGGUGUGCCUAGGUUCGAGAGGCUGUCUCAAAAGGGGAAAAAGUUCAAAAGGAAACGGAAUUGGAGUAUGCGCACUGCACACAGCCCCAGAGGCUUAGUGUGGCUUGCUGUCCUGUGUCAGGAUAUCAGGGUGUCUGUCAGAGGCUCCACUUAGUAGGAGGCUCUCUUUCCUUUUCUCUCUUUUGUGGUGCUGCGAGUUACAACCCAGGGCUUUGUACGUGUAAAGUAGUUGACCACUGAACUUCACUUCCAGUUCAAGAGUUCAGGAAGCCUUUCAUAGAUACUUAAGUGUGUGUGUGUGUGUGUGUGUGUGUGUGUGUGUGUGUGUGUGUGUGUGUGGUUAUUUUUAUUUAUUUUCCUUGAGACAGGGUCUCUCACUCUCUCUCUCCAUUGCCCUGGCUGUCCUAGAACUCACUGCUUGAUACCCCACCUAAAACAAACAAACAAACAAACAAACAAACAAAACCAAAAGAACCCACGUAGGCAUCACUGUCCUAUAAUAUGAGGAAAUGGACUCAGAAAGGUCAUCAAACAUUUGUAGGAUGACAAUGUUAGCAAGAGCAAAAGACAGAAUUUCAAUUCAAAUUCCUCUCAUUCCUAACUCUUUUUUUUUUUUUUGGUUCUUUUUUUCGGAGCUGGGGACCGAACCCAGGGCCUUGCGCUUCCUAGGUAAGCGCUCUACCACUGAGCUAAAUCCCCAACCCCUUCAUUCCUAACUCUUAACUACUACUUAGCUACUGUGUGGGAAAUGAACAGUUUGUACACAUAAGCUGACCUCUGAGGAAACACCAACUAGAGCUAAUUACCUAGCGGGGCAGGGCAGCCCCAUCUAUAUAAACCCAGCACGCUAGAGACACGGAGGCAACGGAAUCUCAUUCAAGGCUAGCUUGGGAUACAUAAGUGAGAUUCUGUCUGCAAAACCAACCAACCAAAGCUUGGUGGCUUUGCUUCAGCCCAAAGUUACAGACGUGGAACUCCCAAGGUCUUCACAAGGGAUAUUGAUGCCUACUCAGAUUUACAAACUGGGCACCAUGCUGUGUCUCUGUAAUCCCAACUCCUAGGAAGGCUAAGGCAGGAGGGUGGGGAGUUACAGGUCACGGUAGGCUAUAUCAUAAGAUCUAAGCCAGCCAGGGCUAUAUGGCAAGACCAUGUUUUUAUAAACAACUUUUUAAAAAAUUUAUUUAUUUAUUUAUAUGAAUAUACUGUAGCCGUCUUCAGACACACCAGAAGAGGGCAUCAGAUCCCAUUACAGAUGGUUGUGAGCCACCAUGUGGUUGCUGGGAAUUGAACUCAGGACCUCAGGAAGAGCGGUCAGUGCUCUUAACCACUGAGCCAUCUCUCCAGCCCAAGAUCGUGUUUUAAACAAUCAAAUCAUUCAAAAAAAAAAAAUGAGAAGAACAAAGUUCUGGGGAUGUGCAUUCUGUUCCAUCACUGUGGAAGGCGCUCCAGAUCUUGCACGACUAAAUCUGUCUGUGUUAUUUGGUAUCUUCCUUCCAUGUUAACUCUGGUUUGAGCUUGUGAUUUGCUUGGAUCAACGACGUGUGCUAGGAGUGGAAAUGUACUGGCUUCAAAUAGAAACUUUUGCAUAGCUAGAUGUAAUGGUCUGCAGUUACAAAUAUAAUCCCAGAAUUUGGGAGGUUGAGGCAGGAAGAAUUUGGGGAUUGCUUGGGCUACACAGUGAGAUUUCCCCCUUCUCAAACCAAACCAAACCAAACCAAACCCAAACCAAACCACCAAACCAAACUACCACCACCACCAACAACAACAACACCACCACCAACACAACCAUUGGUCUUGUGCUUUUUCUUUCUCUCUCAAACAUCUUCCCACCGGCACGAGGAAGAAGCCAGUACCUUCUUCAGGGUGAGAGAGUUCGUGGCAUGAGCUCUCCUCCUGAGUCCUUCCCAGAUGUCUUAGUCACUGUGUCCUAAUGCUGUGAAGAGACACGAUGAUCAAGACAGCUAUUGUAAGAGAAAGCAUUUAACUGGGGGCCAGCCCACAGUUUCAGAGGUUUUAUUGCAUUAUCAUCAUGGCAGGAAGCAUGGUGGUGUGCAGGCAGGUGCAGUACCCAUAGCUGAGGGCUACAUCCUGAUCCAUAGGCAGGGAAAGAGGAGGGGGAGAGAGAGAGAGAGACAGAGAGACAGAGACAGAGACAGAGACAGAGACAGAGAGACUGACUAACUCUCUGGGCUUGGCAUGGGUUUUUGAAACCUUAAAAAUCCUACCCCUAGAGACACUUCAAAAAGGUCAUACCUCCUAAUCCUUCUAAUCUUUCAAAUGGUGCCUCUCCCUGGUUGUAAAGUAAUUCUGGCUUUUCUAUGCCUGCUUUAACUCCCAAAUAAAGACACAGAGACCUUAUAUUUAUUAAUAUAAGAGCUCAUUCAAGCUGGGCAGAUAACCAUCUAUUCUAAUCCAUCCAUGCCGGCCUCCUACCAAGCCACGUGCUCCAUUACUUGCCAACUUCGUCUUGCCCUGGCUGCUCUCUUGCUCCACCAGUGUCCUCAUAGCGACUCCCCUGGCAACCUGUUCAUGGAGACUGCUCAUGGGGAAUCUCCCUCUCUCCCCACCAGAGACCCUCUUACUGGGCUUGGAAGUCCUGCCUCUUUGUGAAUCAGUCAGAAGUGACAAUUUUUACACAAUGCUGAGACAAGAGUUGCUUGACAAUGCCAGUGUCCAAACUGCAACUAGAUCUCUGGGCACAGUAAUGAGCGUCUGAAUAAUACACAGUGUACAAAACCUGGUGACAAAGCAUUCAAAUACAUGAGCCUAUGGGGCCAUUGUUAUUCAGACUACCACAUAAGACCUAACAGAAUAAAGCUAGCCCCUUACCUGGAUGAAAUCAACCUAGCCUGAACCAAACCAACAGAAUGAUACAGUCCCAUCUAUACUGGCACAGAGGUUAAUGCUUCCCAUGAUUAGAAAUGUUGUGGGUGCCUGUUGACAGUUCCCUUGGUCUCUUCUGUCUUAAUGAUUGCCUCAGCUGAAGGAGUGCCUACCCACCCUGUUCCUUCCUUGGAGCCAACUGCAUACAGUGACAGGCAGAUGUGUGAUAGCAUAAGAUUCUGACUCCUGGGGUUGGGGAUUUAACUCAGUGGUGGAGCGCUUGCCUAGGAAGCGCAAGGCCCUGGGUUCGGUCCCCAGCUCCGAAAAAAAGAACCAAAAAAAAAAAAAAAUUCUGACUCCUUUGUUCAGAUGAGAGACAGUUGUUCAGUGUCAAAGACCAACUUUGAGAUCCAGGGUAAACUGAGGCGGGGCAUAGAGUGGGCAAUCAACUUGGGUGGUUGGGAAUGCUCCCUAGGGACUGAUAAAGAACUCUUUGGGUGGCACUGAAAAAGGCUGAUGAAAAACUCCUUGGGGGCCUGCCUGGAGAGGCAUGACAGUGCAGGGACCUGUGGUGUGAACCUGACGUGUCUCUGAGCCUUGAUGUGUCCCCAUCUGCCCUCCAGAGAGACCUAAUCCAAGAGAAGGUCCAAUAGUGCCGUUCUCCACAAAGGCUGCUUUCCUAGAACUAGCUGGUGAGGGCUUGUGUGUGUUAGACCUGUGUCACCAUAACGAAGACCCAAGAUAGAGAGCUCAUAAAGAAGGCAAGUUCAUUUCGGCUCACAGUUUCGUAGGGCUCACAGGUUUGUAGGUUUUAACGCACUGGUUGACCCUGUUGCUUUGGGGCUUGUGGCAACCUAGUGUAUCAUGGUGAGAGUGGAUCAAACCAUCCACCUCACAGUGGGGAAGCACAAGAGAAAGAAGGGGAUGGGGCUUGCUCACACAUUGUAAGAGUACCUUUGAGGGACCCAAAGACCUCCUACUAGACCCACCUCUAAGAGUGUCCAUUGCCUCCCAAUAGCACCAAGUGCUGGGUGUGGCUCUAUUGUUUAGGGAAUAAUGGAAAGAAAAAAAGAGUCUGUCCCUGCUUGGUCAUUGCUUUUAUUUUUUGCUCUUGUACGCCAUCUGAGGUUGAAUGUGAGGCCAGGGCAACCACUGAUAACAAAAGAGGAGGGACAGAGACCCUACUGAGAAGGACAAGGACCUCUUUGGAGAAGGCAUGUUACAGGACAGCUUGUUUAGAGGUGGGAUUUUGCCAUUUCAAAGAAAAUCUAAUGUUUCUUGUGCUGAUUAGUUUUUUUUAUUUUAUUUUAUUUUAUUUUAUUUUAUUUUUGUUUUGUUUUGUUUUUUAUAGUCUUGACACAAGUUCAGGUCAUCUGGGAAGGCAGAACUUUAGUUCAGAAAAUUCCUCUAUCAGAUUGACCUGUAGAGAGAAUUUUUUUUUUUUUUUUGGUUCUUUUUUUCGGAGCUGGGGACUGAACCCAGGGCCUUGCGCUUCCUAGGUAAGCGCUCUACCACUGAGCUAAAUCCCCAGCCCCGAGAGAAUAUUUUUUAAUGACUGAUGUGAGAGGGCCCAGCCCACUAUGGUUGGCACAAUCCUGGGAAGGUGGUCCUGGGUGUAUAAGAAGGGUAGCUGGGGAGUUGGGGAUUUAGCUCAGUGGUAGAGCGCUUGCCUAGCAACCGCAAGGCCCUGGGUUCAGUCCCCAGCUCCGAAAAAAAGAAAAAAGAAAAAAAAAAAAAAAAAAAAAAAAAAGAAGGGUAGCUGGGCAGGCCAGACAGCAGCAUGUUUCUCUGGUCUCUGCCUCAAUUCCUGUCUCCUGGAUCCUGCCUUGAGUUUCUGCCCUUCAUGAAGGACUGAGAGCCUCAAGAUUAAAUAAACCCUCCCCUCCCCAGUUGCUCUGGCCAUGGUGUUUGCAUCACAACAACAGAAAGAAAACUGGGGUGGGGUGGGGGGAGCAUGUCUGUACCUCCGUAUCUUCAAAGCAAUUGUGUUGACUUUGCGCAGUUACAGGAGGGCCAGAUGAGUUAACAUCUGGAUGCUCUUAGAGUGUUACUGUUGUUAUUUAAGUCUCAGAUAUUAAUACCAGAUAUCAGUUGUUAAUAAUAUCAGAAUAUCGGCUGCACCCGUGGGGAAAGAGCACACCAAACCAACACCAACACGGUUCCACGUGUUGAGAUUUUAAUGCGGGAAUGAGACAAGGGGAAAGGGCGAGAGAAAGAAGAGAAAAAGAGGCCUAGGGGACAGGGCACCUGCCUCUUAUUUGGAAUGUGGCAUAAAGGUUCCCAGGUGGAGGUGCAAACUGAGCCAAAAGGUCUUCUGGGAAUGUAUGGCCGUUGCCAUGGCAACAGUGACCAAAAGGGUAUCACUGCUAAAGGCAAUUCCUGAUAUCAACAGUUACCCCCAUGCAUUUGCAGCUCAGUUGAUGAUCGUGACUUCAGUUGCAUACAACUGUGAAUAACAUUAUUGACAAACAUUAUAUUGACAGAGAGACAGACACACAGACACAGACACACACACACACACACACACACAGAGAGAGAGAGAGAGAGAGAGAGAGAGAGAGAGAGAGAGAGAGAGAGAGAACAAAGCAAGCAUGGAGCCCCUCAC
Rattus norvegicus (Norway rat) is the source of this 7801-nucleotide non-coding RNA. The record is from RefSeq and is a predicted model, not a curated record. NCBI's taxonomy places the organism in Eukaryota, Metazoa, Chordata, Mammalia, Rodentia, Muridae.